RNAcentral lists this unclassified non-coding RNA (366 nucleotides) under Basidiomycota sp. RNAcentral describes it as "partial contains small subunit ribosomal RNA, internal transcribed spacer 1, and 5.8S ribosomal RNA". The stretch from base 1 to 47 matches the Rfam family "Eukaryotic small subunit ribosomal RNA", at positions 1785 to 1831 of the family's 1831-position model. The record is from RNAcentral. Lineage: Eukaryota; Fungi; Basidiomycota.
AAAGUCGUAACAAGGUUUCCGUAGGUGAACCUGCGGAAGGAUCAUUAACACGUAUCCAACGUUAAAACCCCCCCGUGAACCUUCAUUGUGCUCGUACGCUCUGUUAGAAAGUAUCAGGCAGCUGGUAAAUCAUUGCCGAACAGUUUUGAUUCAGCACACCUGGUGCGUAGGGUGUGCAUGUUGCGCGAGGCAAGUGGCCUGGCAUCCGCAAGGAUGACGCAGUAACGAUCGCUAGAGGCCAUCACGGCCGGCGACCGGGCCGCCGGGCUUAAGUGCUCCUUCGAAACCUUUGCAUGAAAACGGGCCUGCGCUUAAUUGUGCGGCCACCAACUCGAACAACUGUUAACAAUGGAUAUCUUGGUUCUC